RNAcentral lists this ribosomal RNA (253 nucleotides) under uncultured bacterium. RNAcentral describes it as "partial 16S ribosomal RNA". It matches the Rfam family "Bacterial small subunit ribosomal RNA", at positions 524 to 776 of the family's 1533-position model. The record is from RNAcentral.
UACAGAGGGUGCGAGCGUUAAUCGGAAUUACUGGGCGUAAAGCGUGCGUAGACGGUUAUUUAAGUCGGAUGUGAAAGCCCCGGGCUCAACCUGGGAAUGCCAUUUGAGACUGCAUAGCUAGGGUACGGAAGAGGGAAGCGGAAUUUCAGGUGUAGCGGUGAAAUGCGUAGAUAUCUGAAGGAACACCAGUGGCGAAAGCGGCUUCCUGGUCCAGUACCGACGUUCAGGCACGAAAGCGUGGGGAGCAAACAGG